RNAcentral lists this ribosomal RNA (422 nucleotides) under uncultured bacterium. Its description in RNAcentral is "bacterial SSU rRNA". It matches the Rfam family "Bacterial small subunit ribosomal RNA", at positions 355 to 774 of the family's 1533-position model. The record is from RNAcentral.
UAAGGAAUAUUGGACAAUGGAGGCAACUCUGAUCCAGCCAUGCCGCGUGAAGGAAUAAGGCCCUAUGGGUUGUAAACUUCUUUUAGACGGGACAAAACCCCUUUACGUGUAAAGGGUUGAUGGUACUGUCAGAAUAAGCAUCGGCUAACUUCGUGUCAGCAGCCGCGGUAAUACGAAGGAUGCAAGCGUUAUCCGGAAUUAUUGGGUUUAAAGGGUGCGUAGGCGGACUAAUAAGUCAGUGGUGAAAGCCUGCAGCUUAACUGCAGAAUUGCCAUUGAUACUGUUAGUCUUGAGUACAGUUGAGGUAGGCGGAAUGUGUCAUGUAGCGGUGAAAUGCUUAGAUAUGACACAGAACACCGAUUACGAAGGCAGCUUGCUAAGCUGUAACUGACGCUGAGGCACGAAAGCGUGGGUAGCAAACA